This 719-nucleotide ribosomal RNA is filed under the name uncultured bacterium. Its description in RNAcentral is "bacterial SSU rRNA". It matches the Rfam family "Bacterial small subunit ribosomal RNA", at positions 77 to 812 of the family's 1533-position model. The record is from RNAcentral.
CCUUCGGGUAUUGAGGAUGGCGGACGGGUGAGUAACGCGUAAGGAACUUGCCUCUUGGUCUGGGACAACUGUUGGAAACGACAGCUAAUACCGGAUAUUAUGAGAUUCUCGCAUGGGAAACUUAUGAAAGCUAUAUGCGCCAAGAGAGAGCCUUGCGUUCCAUUAGCUAGUUGGUGGGGUAACGGCCCACCAAGGCGACGAUGGAUAGCCGGCCUGAGAGGGUGAACGGCCACAAGGGGACUGAGACACGGCCCUUACUCCUACGGGAGGCAGCAGUGGGGAAUAUUGGACAAUGGGCCACAAGCCUGAUCCAGCAAUUCUGUGUGCACGAUGAAGGUCUUCGGAUUGUAAAGUGCUUUCAGUUGGGAAGAAGAAAGUGACGGUACCAACAGAAGAAGCGACGGCUAAAUACGUGCCAGCAGCCGCGGUAAUACGUAUGUCGCAAGCGUUAUCCGGAUUUAUUGGGCGUAAAGCGCGUCUAGGCGGAAAAAUAAGUCUGAUGUUAAAAUGCGGGGCUCAACUCCGUAUUGCGUUGGAAACUGUUUUUCUAGAGUACUGGAGAGGUGGGCGGAACUACAAGUGUAGAGGUGAAAUUCGUAGAUAUUUGUAGGAAUGCCGAUGGAGAAGUCAGCUCACUGGACAGAUACUGACGCUAAAGCGCGAAAGCGUGGGGAGCAAACAGGAUUAGAUACCCUGGUAGUCCACGCCGUAAACGAUGA